Molecule: transfer RNA, 72 nt
Filed under: Ictidomys tridecemlineatus (thirteen-lined ground squirrel)
Lineage: Eukaryota; Metazoa; Chordata; Mammalia; Rodentia; Sciuridae
Also listed under: 1 other name
Description: Spermophilus tridecemlineatus (thirteen-lined ground squirrel) tRNA
Rfam family: tRNA
About the family: Transfer RNA (tRNA) molecules are approximately 80 nucleotides in length. Their secondary structure includes four short double-helical elements and three loops (D, anti-codon, and T loops).
Source: Rfam by way of RNAcentral
GGUGUUGUGGCUCAGUGGUAGAGCACUUGCCUAGCAUGUGUGAGGCCCUGGGUUCAAUCCUCAGCACCACAU